This 218-nucleotide unclassified non-coding RNA is filed under the name plant metagenome. RNAcentral describes it as "partial contains small subunit ribosomal RNA and internal transcribed spacer 1". The stretch from base 1 to 46 matches the Rfam family "Eukaryotic small subunit ribosomal RNA", at positions 1786 to 1831 of the family's 1831-position model. The record is from RNAcentral.
AAGUCGUAACAAGGUUUCCGUAGGUGAACCUGCGGAAGGAUCAUUAAAGAACGCCCGCUUUGAAUUUUGGUAAUGGAUUCCUAAUCCCAACGUGUAUACAUACCUUUGUUGCUUUGGCAGGCCGCCUUCUAAGCGUUGGCUUCGGCUGACUGUGCCUGCCAGAGGACCCAAACUCGUUUUGUUUUAGUGAUGUCUGAGUACUAUAUAAUAGUUAAAAA